Molecule: ribosomal RNA, 36 nt
Filed under: Lactarius quietus
Lineage: Eukaryota; Fungi; Basidiomycota; Agaricomycetes; Russulales; Russulaceae
Description: partial 25S ribosomal RNA
Source: RNAcentral
UUGACCUCAAAUCGGGUGAGACUACCCGCUGACUUA